Molecule: non-coding RNA, 102 nt
Organism: Mycena vulgaris
Lineage: Eukaryota; Fungi; Basidiomycota; Agaricomycetes; Agaricales; Mycenaceae
Source: the annotation of a GenBank genome assembly
GGGUGCUUGGCGCAAUGGCUAGCGUGUUUGGCUUCGAUGCUUGACGUAGCGCGUGGGAAACACGUGACCAAAAGGUUGUAGGUUCGAGUCCUACAGUACUCA